RNAcentral lists this ribosomal RNA (116 nucleotides) under Erinaceus europaeus (western European hedgehog). The record is from RNAcentral. Lineage: Eukaryota; Metazoa; Chordata; Mammalia; Eulipotyphla; Erinaceidae.
AUUUGUGGUCAUGCCAUCCUGAUCGUACCCAGGAUCAUCUGAUCUUGGAAGCUAAGCGGAAUGAGGCCUGGUUAGACUUAGAUGGGAAACAGAAUGUCUGUGGGUAGUUAAAAUUC